RNAcentral lists this ribosomal RNA (885 nucleotides) under Salmonella enterica. RNAcentral describes it as "partial 23S ribosomal RNA". It matches the Rfam family "Bacterial large subunit ribosomal RNA", at positions 711 to 1594 of the family's 2925-position model. The record is from RNAcentral. Lineage: Bacteria; Pseudomonadati; Pseudomonadota; Gammaproteobacteria; Enterobacterales; Enterobacteriaceae. RNAcentral also lists the same sequence under 1 other name.
AGACCCGAAACCCGGUGAUCUAGCCAUGGGCAGGUUGAAGGUUGGGUAACACUAACUGGAGGACCGAACCGACUAAUGUUGAAAAAUUAGCGGAUGACCUGUGGCUGGGGGUGAAAGGCCAAUCAAACCGGGAGAUAGCUGGUUCUCCCCGAAAGCUAUUUAGGUAGCGCCUCGUGAAUUCAUCUCCGGGGGUAGAGCACUGUUUCGGCUAGGGGGCCAUCCCGGCUUACCAACCCGAUGCAAACUGCGAAUACCGGAGAAUGUUAUCACGGGAGACACACGGCGGGUGCUAACGUCCGUCGUGAAGAGGGAAACAACCCAGACCGCCAGCUAAGGUCCCAAAGUCAUGGUUAAGUGGGAAACGAUGUGGGAAGGCCCAGACAGCCAGGAUGUUGGCUUAGAAGCAGCCAUCAUUUAAAGAAAGCGUAAUAGCUCACUGGUCGAGUCGGCCUGCGCGGAAGAUGUAACGGGGCUAAACCAUGCACCGAAGCUGCGGCAGCGACGCUGAUGCGUUGUUGGGUAGGGGAGCGUUCUGUAAGCCUGCGAAGGUGGCCUGUGAGGGUUGCUGGAGGUAUCAGAAGUGCGAAUGCUGACAUAAGUAACGAUAAAGCGGGUGAAAAGCCCGCUCGCCGGAAGACCAAGGGUUCCUGUCCAACGUUAAUCGGGGCAGGGUGAGUCGACCCCUAAGGCGAGGCCGAAAGGCGUAGUCGAUGGGAAACGGGUUAAUAUUCCCGUACUUGGUGUUACUGCGAAGGGGGGACGGAGAAGGCUAUGUUGGCCGGGCGACGGUUGUCCCGGUUUAAGCGUGUAGGUGUGUGUUCCAGGUAAAUCCGGUUCACUUUAACACUGAGGCGUGAUGACGAGGCACUACGGUGCUGAAGCAAC